UCAGGGACACGACCUGGCUCUUCUGGUCGCAGUUCACAAAGGCCUGGCUGGGGCCUUCGUCCUGGCUGGGCAGGGUCCUGCAGCCUUUGUUGCUCCACUUACACCAGUACUUCUCAUAGGAGUAGAAUUUGCAGGGGAAGUGGCAGGAGAUCUUGAGGGUCUCUCCCAGCGAAGCCUUGACAUUCUUGGGUACCUUGAGGCUUGGUUCUCCUGGAGCAGGGAGGGAGAAAUAGGCACAGAAGUCGGCGCUGGUGAUGCUGCAGAAAAGUGACGGGGGGACUAGGGGGGUGCUUUGUCCACAGCCCAUUUCCUCUUUGGACAGCAUGGUAAAUAAACACACUAUACUGAACACAAAAGCACUUGUAAUUAUGUGUCUAUAAUAGAUUAUUGGUGACCACCGUGAGUCACUCUAGUCUAUCACAGACCAUAGACCUUGCUAAUGACUUCAAUUUGCUUUCCUCGUUGUUAUCUGCUCUCCUAGACUCAAGACAGCCAUACUCUACUCAGCUGACGCCGUAUAUACUGUAAAAGAAGCCGAUACUCUUGAUCGCUGGAGGUGUGGUAGUUUGAAGAAUGUGGGGCAGGAAAGGGUUUGUUACAGAGCCCAGCACUGGAGCCUUCACCCAGCCUCCAGGAGACUUCCCCACUGGUCUGGCGACCUUGAUUCCUUCCCCACCUUAUUCUGAGCAGAGAAUGGAAGGGGUGUAAAGAGAGACUAUUAGCCUUUCUCCUUAGGCUUCUUACAAAAUCUCCCCCUAGGUCUCACCUUCAUUGACGAAGAGUUGCCAGGCCUGGGUGGGCCAGCCUUCCUGAGGCUCACCAUCAGGGUUGGCUCCGCACAGGUAGAGCCCCGCAUCCUCUUUCCUCAGGCUGGUGACAAGCACUCUGAAGCCAUCAUCCUUGAGAGUGAACAGGAUCCUGCCCUCAAAGUCCUGAGCCUUCUUCCCCAGCGUGUUGAAGAUCACACUGCAAGCUUCCGCAUUUUUUACCUGGCACAGAAAUUGGGCCACAUUUGCCUUCUCGGGGCCCAGGGCACAGUCAAAGGUCACUGAGCCCCUCAGGUCUCCAUAAAUCAGCUCACGCUUGGGCUUCAGCACUUGGAGGUCAGCAUUGCUCUUGUCGGCGUUGGCAUCAUCCCCAGCCUGGCAGACGUACAUCCCAGCAUCGUUGAGCUGGAUGUGGUUGAUGUCAACGCUGAACGCUAAUUCGUUGGUACCCUGAAUAUUGAGAUGUACUCUGUGGCUGUAGCUGGGGCUCACAUACCCAGUAGAGUCGGUGACUAGCACGCAGCUCUGGCCUGUCUUCUUGCACAUAGAUUUCUUCUUCUCAGAAUUCACAGCCUUGAAAGGGCAGUUGAUGGUCACUUUUCUGCCCAGUUCUGCUGUGUAGACGUGGACGCCAUUUAUCUGCCCAGGAGCUGCAGAAUGAGGGGUGGGGGAUUAAAAUAUUAAGAGCCACAAGGAUAAGUCAUUUCCCCAAAACCCCCAAACAAAGCAACUCAUAGUGAUGCUUCGUUCAAGGUCAAGGUCUUAUUUUCUUUAUUCCCAGUGAAGAUCCUUCACCAGACCCCUGACCUUCAAAUGUGGGAGCGCCAUUUCUGUUCCCCAUCCCCAGCGCUGGCUCACCAAUCCAUUUUCAGAUGUGGCCUCUCUGCAUCGUCUGUGCGGUUACUCCUCAAGGGAGUCCAGGCUUUGCAAAGGACAUCCUUGGGGACAGGCCUGAUUUCAGAGCCCCCAGGGAACUGGGUCUGGGAUGGGGGUGGGCUGGGACCUGGCCGACGCACCUGGGAAGACAGCCAGCAGGCAGGCGAAGAAGAGGCGCGACAUCGCUGGAGGAUCCCGUGGGGCUGUGCCACCCAGGCCGCCUUCUUGAGUGGUUGCUGAAAGACAAUAGCAUGAGGUGAUGGAGUGCCUUUGUCUUCCAAGACUAGCUGACCGAGUUCCUGCAACACCUGUUCGAUUUUGUAUCUCCAGUAACCGACAUAAAACCUGUGGAAGAAUGAAUGGCUCCGCCUUUCCCAUUACAGUUCAAAGUCCCAUUAUCCACAAUGCUUCUUUGUUCCUUAAUAGGUAUAAGUAGAUUUUCAUCUUCUCAACUAAGCUGCAAAGUUCCUUUGGGGUAGGGACACGCACAUGGGUCAUUUCCUCUCUAUCCCUGUCCGGGGGUCACGGUCCUGGGCAAGAUCCGUUACAGCUCAGGAACAGCUCACCGGAUAAUUGGUUACUACCAAGAAAUGGCUCCAUCCCUCUGUUCCAGCCGCCCUCCCUACACCCCUGGAAGGUGGAGGGGGGCUGGCAUAUUUUAUGGCGUGUCAUAUGAGUAAGUAGAGAUGCAUAGAGGCAGCCUAGCAAGGAUGAAAGUGAUGAUGAUGGUCGUAACCACCAUGAAUGGUCUUUGUACCAUG
Molecule: long non-coding RNA, 2404 nt
Organism: Orcinus orca (killer whale)
Lineage: Eukaryota; Metazoa; Chordata; Mammalia; Artiodactyla; Delphinidae
Exons: 4
Source: RefSeq, a predicted model, not a curated record